CUUUGGAACAGAAUAGGCAUAGUCCUUGUUCUCAAGUGUUUGAGGAGAGAAGAGCAUGGUGAUUUUGAAGUUAGGUUUCUCCCAAUUUAGGGCCACAGAAAUGUUGCCCUUUGCAAUAACAGCACCUGUGCCUGAAAUGAUCUCAACUGCAUGGAUCCAAUUAUUUGAAAAUUGUGAUAACUCACAGGCACAUCUCAGCACUCUUCCCUUUCUUUGGCAAAAGGUUAGAAAGCUGACCAGGGGAAGAGGAGCCCAGACUCUGGGCUUCCUUGAGGUGCAUUCAGUGGAAAGAGAAAAGCAGCCUCCAGGGGACCUCAAGGAGCAGCCCUGAGCAUUUCUUCCUAGACACUGUCUAGAACUCUGUUUCGUGUGGAGCUAUUCCUUGUAUUUCAGUUCUAGUGGUUUCAAUCAAAAAUAACAACUGCCCAUUAUUUGAACAUGUGCUCUGCUUUCAUGCUUUACACACAUCAUCUCUACUCUUGACAGUAAUAAUUCAAGGUAGGUGGCACCAUGCUACUGUUUCAGUGUGUCUCCUGAAGUUCAUGUAUUGAAAACUCAAUCCUCAAAUUUAUGUGUGCAUGGUAUUUGGAGGUGGGCCCUUUUGGGGGUAAUUAAGAUCAGAGGAAGUCAUGAGGACAGACACCGAAGAUGGCAUUAGCAGCUUUAUCAGAAGAGGAAAAGGCCUGAGCUAGUGUGCUUGCUCUGUGGCAUCUUGUGAUACAGGAAGAAGGCCCUCACCAGAAGCUAAGCAGAUACCAGUGCCAAGCUCUGGUCUUCUCAGUCUCCAGAACUGUGAGCUAAUUAGACUUCUAUUCUUUAUAUCUUACCCAACCCCAUGUAUUUUGUUAUAGCAACAUAAAACAGACUGAGAUGCACCACCAUAUUGCAGGUUAGCAGACACUAAUUUAGAGAGAUCAGUGACCUGUCUACAUUUUAGGAUAAGGCCAAAUCAGACACUUUUAGCUGUAACUCAUGGGGGAGAAGAAUCCCUAGUGUCAUUGUUUAUUCUUAGAAUUUUCUUUCUCAGGAGAAUUAUGAAAGACAUACAAUUGUUUUGAAUUUCAAACCAAUUUACCUGUGUAACUAAAGAAGUGGUAAGAUGCUCAGUAGGAAAAAGUGGAAACUGACCCAGUGAAUGCCAGAACAGAGAGUGGAUCCAAUUACAGCUCUCCCUGGGACACAGAUGAUCUUAUUCUGAUUAGCUGUACCAUCUUCAUUGGGACAAAAAUGAAAC
This 1234-nucleotide long non-coding RNA is filed under the name Heterocephalus glaber (naked mole-rat). RNAcentral describes it as "lncRNA (ENSHGLG00000036134.1)". Lineage: Eukaryota; Metazoa; Chordata; Mammalia; Rodentia; Bathyergidae. The record is from RNAcentral.